GGGGGUAGGGUAUAGCUCAGUGGUAGAGCGCAUGCUCAGCAUACAUGAGGUCCUGAGUUCAAUCCCCAGUACCCCCU
Molecule: transfer RNA, 77 nt
Filed under: Vicugna pacos (alpaca)
Lineage: Eukaryota; Metazoa; Chordata; Mammalia; Artiodactyla; Camelidae
Description: tRNA-Und (NNN) (tRNA-Und-NNN-31-1)
Rfam family: tRNA (bases 8-74)
About the family: Transfer RNA (tRNA) molecules are approximately 80 nucleotides in length. Their secondary structure includes four short double-helical elements and three loops (D, anti-codon, and T loops).
Source: RNAcentral